RNAcentral lists this ribosomal RNA (254 nucleotides) under uncultured bacterium. Its description in RNAcentral is "partial 16S ribosomal RNA". It matches the Rfam family "Bacterial small subunit ribosomal RNA", at positions 524 to 776 of the family's 1533-position model. The record is from RNAcentral.
CACGUAGGGUGCGAGCGUUGUCCGGAAUUAUUGGGCGUAAAGAGCUCGUAGGCGGUGUGUCGCGUCGGCCGUGAAAACCUGCAGCUUAACUGUGGGCUUGCGGUCGAUACGGGCAUCACUGGAGUUCGGCAGGGAAGACUGGAAUUCCUGGUGUAGCGGUGAAAUGCGCAGAUAUCAGGAGGAACACCUGCGGCGAAGGCGGGUUGCUGGGCUGAUACUGACGCUGAGGCGCGAAAGCCAGGGGAGCGAACGGG